Molecule: RNA transcript, 1445 nt
Organism: Panicum virgatum (switchgrass)
Lineage: Eukaryota; Viridiplantae; Streptophyta; Magnoliopsida; Poales; Poaceae
Gene name: bidirectional sugar transporter SWEET3a-like
Exons: 7
Source: RefSeq, a predicted model, not a curated record
UGUAUCUGAAUCAUUUUAGCUCCUCGCCUCCUGUAGCAAGGCUAGUGAAGACUUCAGAGCAUAAAAAUGGUUACUAGCAUACGUGUGAUACUUGGAAUUAUAGGAUGUGCAGUCUGUAUGCUUCUCUAUUCAGCACCAAUAUUGACAUUUAAAAGAGUAAUCAAGGAGGCUAGUGUAGGCGAAUUCUCAUGCAUACCGUAUAUCCUGACUCUGUUCAGCUGCCUCACAUAUAGCUGGUAUGGUUUUCCAAUUGUUAGCUCUGGGUGGAAGAACUUGACAGUUUUCCUCAUCAGCUCAAUAGGAGUAAUCUUUGAAAUAUCAUUCAUCGGCAUAUACCUAUGGUUUGCACCAAGAGAGAAAAAGAAGCUCGUUAUCCUAAUUGUAUCUCUGUUUCUGGCAAUCUUCGGCAUGACCAUAUUAAUCUCAUGCUUUAUAAUCCACACCCACCACAUACGAAAGGUAUUUGUUGGAAGUAUUGGUGUAUUGUCUGCCAUGCUGAUGUACAGCUCUCCUCUUGUUGCUGUGAAACAAGUUGUAAGGACGAGAAGUGUGGAGUUCAUGCCUUUCUACUUGUCAUUGUUUUCCUUCUUAACCAGUUUAAUCUGGAUGGUAUAUGGACUCCUAGGCAGGGAUCCCUAUAUUACGUUGCCAAACUGUGUUGGGUGUGCAACAGGCAUCCUUCAGUUGGUUGUCUACUGUAUUUACAGCAGAAGCAAGGAAAGACCAAAGAUGCAAAACAAUAUGGGAAAUGAUAUGGAAGUGGCAACCAGUUGUAAAGACACGACAGAACAUAAGCCUUGACAUGGAACAAGUAUACCCUCUUUUCCCCAGAAGCACCAUUGCUGCAUACCUAACAUGAGAGGGAAUAUUAUGGUGCCAUUUGGAGUUUUGGAUAUUCACUUAUUUGUUUGUUGUAUAUCAUGCAGCUAAAUUGUCCUAAGACAUCAUCCAGAGAAGCCACAAAGUCAGAACAUCCCAUAAUCAGUCAUAAGCUAUUAAGCUGAAUGGUGAAUGCAAAUAAGGUCCACAAUAAAUCUAGAAGUUGGGUCCAAAUAAAAACUGGAGUCCAUCCAUGCAACUACUCUGAGAUACAUAUUGACAAAGUGGAUCGGUUUCAGAUCAUUUCAAAAGCUAGCAAUCAUUGGCUGCCAUUCGAAGUUGAGACAUGUCAUAAACUGCAAAGUUAACGAUUGACUCCUUACCUCAAGACUUUUCGUGUCUAUUAAGCUGAGUUGAUCAAAAUAAUGUAAUAUCCAUGGUCAGAUUUCUAUCAAAACUCAAGGAAAUAGUCUUCAUAUUAAGUUCAUACUGUGCGAGACCUCUUCUUGACAGCAGCUUCAAAAUUCCAAUGGCAUUAUCCUUCUAACUGAUUGCCUCUCUGGUUACCUUGUACAUGAUAUCUAUUGAUCAGCAAAAUGCAGAAGAGAUCAGUUUGGUAGCUUUAA